GGGCCUAUAGCUCAGUCGGUUAGAGCACCUGACUCAUAAUCAGGUGGUUCCAGGUUCGAUCCCUGGUGGGCCCA
Molecule: transfer RNA, 74 nt
Filed under: Bacteroidota bacterium
Lineage: Bacteria; Pseudomonadati; Bacteroidota
Description: Bacteroidetes bacterium (activated sludge metagenome) tRNA-Ile
Rfam family: tRNA
About the family: Transfer RNA (tRNA) molecules are approximately 80 nucleotides in length. Their secondary structure includes four short double-helical elements and three loops (D, anti-codon, and T loops). Further hydrogen bonds mediate the characteristic L-shaped molecular structure. tRNAs have two regions of fundamental functional importance: the anti-codon, which is responsible for specific mRNA codon recognition, and the 3' end, to which the tRNAs corresponding amino acid is attached (by aminoacyl-tRNA synthetases). tRNAs cope with the degeneracy of the genetic code in two manners: having more than one tRNA (with a specific anti-codon) for a particular amino acid; and 'wobble' base-pairing, i.e. permitting non-standard base-pairing at the 3rd anti-codon position.
Source: RNAcentral